GGUGGCCGCAGAGAAUCGGUCUGAGCGACUGUUUAUCAAAAACACAGGACUCUGCUAACUCGAAAGAGGAUGUAUAGAGUCUGAAACCUGCCCACUGCUGGAAGGUUAAGGAGAGGUGUGCAAGCGCCGAACUGAAGCCCCAGUGAAGGGCGGCGGUAACUAUAACCGUCCUAAGGUAGCGAAAUUCCUUGUCAGGUAAGUUCUGACCCGCAUGAAAGGUUCAACGACUUGGACGCUGUCUUGACUGAGUGCUCGGUGAAAUUGAAGCACAGGUGUAAACGCCUGUGACCCGCGGCUGGACAAAAAGACCCCGUGGAGCUUUACUAUAGCUUGAUACUGGGUUUUAGCAUUCGUUGUGUAGGAUAGGUGGGAGGCGAUGAAGCUGGGGCGCUAGCCUCGGUGGAGCCGUCCUUGGAAUACCACCCUGCGGAUGUUGAGGCUCUAACCGUCGGCCGUUAGCAGCGGUCGCGGAACAGUGUUAGGUGGGUAGUUUGACUGGGGCGGUCGCCUCCUAAAGAGUAACGGAGGCGCACAAAGGUCUCCUCAGGCUGGUUGGUGAUCAGCCAUUGAGUGUAAGGGUAUAAGGAGGCUUGACUGCGAGACCUACAAGUCGAGCAGGUGCGAAAGCAGGUCCUAGUGACCCAGUGGCACUUUGUGGAAUGGCCACUGCUCAUCGGACAAAAGUUACCCCGGGGAUAACAGGCUAGUCUGGUCCAAGAGUUCACAUCGACGACCAGGAUCGGCACCUCGAUGUCGGCUCAUCCUAUCCUGGGGCUGAAUCAGGUCCCAAGGGUCCGGCUGUUCGCCGGUUAAAAGGGUACGCGAG
RNAcentral lists this ribosomal RNA (826 nucleotides) under marine sediment metagenome. RNAcentral describes it as "LSU rRNA". It matches the Rfam family "Bacterial large subunit ribosomal RNA", at positions 1772 to 2604 of the family's 2925-position model. The record is from RNAcentral.